GACGAACGCUGGCGGCGUGCUUAACACAUGCAAGUCGAACGGAAAGGCCCUGCUUUUGUGGGGUGCUCGAGUGGCGAACGGGUGAGUAACACGUGAGUAACCUGCCCUUGACUUUGGGAUAACUUCAGGAAACUGGGGCUAAUACCGGAUAGGAGCUCCUGCUGCAUGGUGGGGGUUGGAAAGUUUCGGCGGUUGGGGAUGGACUCGCGGCUUAUCAGCUUGUUGGUGGGGUAGUGGCUUACCAAGGCUUUGACGGGUAGCCGGCCUGAGAGGGUGACCGGGCACAGUGGGGGAGGAGUGAGGGCCCGGGUCCCGCGGGGGGGAGGAGGGGGGGAAGAUGGAACAGGGGCGGAGGGCUGAAGCCAGCAACGCCGCGGGGGGAAGGCGGCCGUUGGGUUUGAAACCGGCUUCCGCUGGUAACCAGGGGGGGGGCAGGGAAGUGGGAAAGAAAACACCGCAUAACAACGU
RNAcentral lists this ribosomal RNA (468 nucleotides) under uncultured bacterium. RNAcentral describes it as "partial 16S ribosomal RNA". It matches the Rfam family "Bacterial small subunit ribosomal RNA", at positions 28 to 506 of the family's 1533-position model. The record is from RNAcentral.